CAGCCGCCGCGGUAAUACAGAGGGUGCGAGCGUUAAUCGGAUUUACUGGGCGUAAAGCGUGCGUAGGCGGCUAAUUGAGUCGGAUGUGAAAUCCCCGAGCUUAACUUGGGAAUUGCAUUCGAUACUGGUUAGCUAGAGUGUGGGAGAGGAUGGUAGAAUUCCAGGUGUAGCGGUGAAAUGCGUAGAGAUCUGGAGGAAUACCGAUGGCGAAGGCAGCCAUCUGGCCUAACACUGACGCUGAGGUACGAAAGCAUGGGGAGCAAACAGGAUUAGAUACCCGUGUAGUCCCUGUCUCUUAUAU
RNAcentral lists this ribosomal RNA (301 nucleotides) under uncultured bacterium. RNAcentral's name for it is "partial 16S ribosomal RNA". It matches the Rfam family "Bacterial small subunit ribosomal RNA", at positions 509 to 809 of the family's 1533-position model. The record is from RNAcentral.